AUACGUGUAGGGUGGAGAUGCACAACCGUCGGACUGUGUAGCAUUAGGCUUGUUCAAGACGCUUCAUAUCGUCCACACCCGCGGUUGAUUCCUCCUCCUGACUCAGUUUUGCUUAAAGCGGGGCUUAUGCCACCACAGCAAGCAGGAAGCGUCGGUCGCGACUUCGCCACUAGUACUAGUAGGCCGAAAUCUCGCUAGACACUGGAAUGGCCCGCCACUCCAUGACGCACCUGACACCGACCGUGAGAAGUCGUGUGUGCCGAACGCCGUUUCCGGCAGCCCGGAAACCGA
This is a non-coding RNA of 291 nucleotides. It matches the Rfam family "rne-II RNA".